This 714-nucleotide ribosomal RNA is filed under the name uncultured Hydrogenophaga sp. RNAcentral's name for it is "bacterial SSU rRNA". It matches the Rfam family "Bacterial small subunit ribosomal RNA", at positions 8 to 717 of the family's 1533-position model. The record is from RNAcentral. Lineage: Bacteria; Pseudomonadati; Pseudomonadota; Betaproteobacteria; Burkholderiales; Comamonadaceae.
AGAGUUUGAUCUUGGCUCAGAUUGAACGCUGGCGGCAGGCUUAACACAUGCAAGACGAGCGGAGAUGAGGUGCUUGCACCUUAUCUUAGCGGCGGACGGGUGAGUAAUGCUUAGGAAUCUGCCUAUUAGUGGGGGAUAACACUUCGAAAGAAGUGCUAAUACCGCAUACGAUCUGAGGAUGAAAGCGGGGGACCGUAAGGCCUCGCGCGAUCGGAGCGGCCGAUGUCAGAUUAGGUAGUUGGUGGGGUAAAGGCUCACCAAGCCAACGAUCUGUAGCUGGUCUGAGAGGACGACCAGCCACACUGGGACUGAGACACGGCCCAGACUCCUACGGGAGGCAGCAGUGGGGAAUUUUGGACAAUGGGCGCAAGCCUGAUCCAGCAAUGCCGCGUGCAGGAAGAAGGCCUUCGGGUUGUAAACUGCUUUUGUACGGAACGAAACGGUCCGGGUUAAUACCCUGGGCUAAUGACGGUACCGUAAGAAUAAGCACCGGCUAACUACGUGCCAGCAGCCGCGGUAAUACGUAGGGUGCAAGCGUUAAUCGGAAUUACUGGGCGUAAAGCGUGCGCAGGCGGUUUUGUAAGACAGGCGUGAAAUCCCCGGGCUCAACCUGGGAAUUGCGCUUGUGACUGCAAGGCUGGAGUGCGGCAGAGGGGGAUGGAAUUCCGCGUGUAGCAGUGAAAUGCGUAGAUAUGCGGAGGAACACCGAUGGCG